Molecule: ribosomal RNA, 828 nt
Filed under: uncultured Actinomycetes bacterium
Lineage: Bacteria; Bacillati; Actinomycetota; Actinomycetes
Description: bacterial SSU rRNA
Rfam family: Bacterial small subunit ribosomal RNA
Source: RNAcentral
GAUGAAGCCUUUCGGGGUGGAUUAGUGGCGAACGGGUGAGUAACACGUGGGCAAUCUGCCCUGUACUUUGGGAUAAGCCUUGGAAACGGGGUCUAAUACCGGAUAUCACUGUUUUUCGCAUGGGAGACAGUUGAAAGUUCUGGCGGUACAGGAUGAGCCCGCGGCCUAUCAGCUUGUUGGUGGGGUAAUGGCCUACCAAGGCGACGACGGGUAGCCGGCCUGAGAGGGUGACCGGCCACACUGGGACUGAGACACGGCCCAGACUCCUACGGGAGGCAGCAGUGGGGAAUAUUGCACAAUGGGCGAAAGCCUGAUGCAGCGACGCCGCGUGAGGGAUGACGGCCUUCGGGUUGUAAACCUCUUUCCCAGGGACGAACGCACGUGACGGUCCUGGAUAAGAAGCACCGGCUAACUACGUGCCAACGCCGCGGUAUACGUAGGGUGCAAGCGUUGUCCGGAAUUAUUGGGCGUAAAGAGCUCGUAGGCGGUUUGUCGCGUCGGCUGUGAAAACUGGAGGCUUAACCUUCAGCGUGCAGUCGAUACGGGCAGACUUGAGUUCGGUAGGGGAGACUGGAAUCCCUGUGUAGCGGUGAAAUGCGCAGAUAUCAGGAGGAACACCGGUGCGCGAAGCGGGUCUCUGGGCCGAUACUGACUCUCAUGAGCGAACGCGUGCGGAGCGAACAGGAUUAGAUACCCUGGUAGUCCACGCUGUAGCCGUAGGGCGCUAGGUGUGCGCGACAUACACGUUGUCUGUGCCGUAUCUAACCCAUUAAGCGCCGCGCCUGCGGAGUACGGCCGCAAGGCUACAACUCGAAUGAAUUCGACUGG